CUAUUCUGGCGAAUGGUGCUUGUUUAAAAAAGUUGUGAGGUCGUUUAAUAAAGUUGAAGAAAAGGGCUUUUUCUGAGUGGCUGUCAAUAUAAUAUCAUAGAAUAACGUUACUGUAAGACAAAAACACGACCUAAUUUGUUAUGAAAUUUUUGGAUAAUUGUGCGAAUGGUUGCCUUUUUCUCUCAUGCGGCGAAAACUCAACAGGACGUGGCACUAGGCAAAAUAUUUGCUUUGAUUGAAACAAAACACAGUGGAGAGGAUGGAGGAGAUUGGAAAGAAUAUUGCAGAAGGAAGAAAAAGGAUGGGGUUCCACAUGCCCCCCUUCUCCUCAGUCCCUCACCUCCAUCUCCACGUCAUCGCUCCUGCCAGUCAGAUGAGCAUCAGGUCACUCAGUCACUAUGGGCCGCAAUCCUAUUGGUUCAUUACCGUGAGUGGAGCAGUAACCCCUCCCACUUCACCAUUGGGGGUUCUUCAUUUUUAUGUCUAUGUUUACCACAUUCAAAUGUGUCUUUGCUCUAUUGUAGAUGGACAGAAUGGUUCAGCAGCUGAGGACCCAUAACCAGGUCAAAUAAGAAUAUACCUGGUUUAGCAGGACACAACAGCACUGGGCUUCCAAGAUCCAUGUCACAACUCUGACAUGGCUGGCAGUGGCUGCAUUCCCGCCUUAUACUUGACAUGCACGGUCACUAAUCUGAAGGACUGGUUUAGUUCUAUUUAUGUUUUUACUAAGCCUCUGUAUUUUUGUAAGUUCUGAUGGGGUGUUACGAUAUGCAUUUAUUAUUAUACACUAAGGGAUAGUACACUAAGGGGGGGGGGGGGGCUUGUACAACUCAAGGUGUCAAAAACAACAAAAAAUGCACCGCUCUCCCCAAUGUAAAAAAUAUUUUCACUUGACACUCCCCUUGUACUGUAAAACAAAAAUUGCACACCCUCCCCCCUCAUAGAAUUAACUCUAAAGAAUGUUUACGACCAGAAAUAACAAUAACUGUAGUGACCUUGUGUUUAUAAACAUGGAUAUCGACUUUGCCCCUUCAUGCUUUUCUGGCACAGCCGAUGCCACGCAGGGCUACGGGCCAGAAGGUUAGGCUACCACCACGGACGAGCUCACUCUCCCUGUACAAAACAUUAAGAACACCUUCCUAAUAUUGAAUUGCCCUCAGAACAAUUCGUCGGGGCAUGGAUUCUACAAGGUCUCAAAAGCGUUCCACAAGGAUGGUGGCCCAUGUUGACUCCAAUGCUUCCCACAGUUGUGUCAAGUUGGCUGGAUGUGCAUUGGGUGGUGGACCAUUCUUGAUACACACGAGAAACUGUUGAGUGUGAAAAACCCAGCAGCAUUGCAGUUCUUGACACAAACCGGUGCGCCUGGCACCUACUACCAUACCCUGUUCAAAGGCACUUAAAUCUUCUGUCUUGCCCAUUCAUUCUCUGAAUGGCACACAUACACAAUCCAUGUCUCAAGGCUUACAAAUCCUUCUUUAACCUGUCUCAUCCCCUCCUACUUCAUCUACACUGAUUUGAAGUGGAUUUAACAACUGACAUCAAUAAGGGAUCAUAGCUUUCACCUGGAUUCGCCUAGUCAGUCUGUGUCAUGGAAAGAGCAGGUGUUCUUAAUGUUUUGUACAUUUUUGCAACAGGUUUCUGUGCCAAUACACCACACAACCAAUAAACAAAGCAUACCGACUUUGGGCACUUUAAUAUCAUGGUUUGCGUUUUCAACGCCACAAUAAAUCUCGACAAACAGAAAAUACAUCCCUGACUACCUGGUAGGCCUACCCAGUAUCGAAGGCUUGACUUGACAAUCUCAGAAUGGCAUUAAACUUUUUCAUCAAAUGGUUGCUACACAGUUUGGAUUGAUUCAUUUUAUUUGUCAGUAAAACAAAAUACAUACAGUACAAAGAUUUUUAAAAGGGACUGGGAUUGUGCAAUAAAGUUGGGGAGUUAUUUCCAUUGUGGUCCCUAUUUUAUAGAUAAAUGCAUAUACAAUUACAUAGAUAUAGACACAUUACAGAUAUCCAGACACAUUACAUAAUAGACACAUUACAUAAUACAGACACAUUACAGAAAUACAGAUAUACAGACACAUUACAG
This is a long non-coding RNA of Salmo trutta (river trout), 2088 nucleotides long. Ensembl annotates it as histidine triad nucleotide-binding protein 3-like. Lineage: Eukaryota; Metazoa; Chordata; Actinopteri; Salmoniformes; Salmonidae. The record is from Ensembl.